Molecule: ribosomal RNA, 253 nt
Filed under: uncultured bacterium
Lineage: Bacteria
Description: partial 16S ribosomal RNA
Rfam family: Bacterial small subunit ribosomal RNA
Source: RNAcentral
UACGUAGGAGGCGAGCGUUGUCCGGAUUUACUGGGCGUAAAGAACGCGUAGGCGGUUCGUUAAGUUUGGCGUAAAAUCUCCUGGCUCAACUGGGAGGGCGCACCGAAGACUGGCGGACUGGAGGGCAUCAGAGGAAAGCGGAACUCCCGGUGUAGUGGUGAAAUGCGUAGAGAUCGGGAAGAACACCUGUGGCGAAGGCGGCUUUCUGGGGUGUACCUGACGCUGAGGCGUGAAAGCGUGGGGAGCGAACCGG